Molecule: small RNA, 593 nt
Filed under: Pan troglodytes (chimpanzee)
Lineage: Eukaryota; Metazoa; Chordata; Mammalia; Primates; Hominidae
Description: retained intron
Source: RNAcentral
CUUUGUGGAGUGGAGAGCAUUUGUGUUUGUCACUGUGCAGUAGGGCAGGCUGUCAUUGAACUAAUUACCUAUAAUUGCAGCCUUUUAUGUCACCGCGAUACGCAGGCGGCCCCAGGCCCCCGAUCAGAAUGGGAAACCAGCCUCCGGGAGGAGUUCCUGGGACACAGCCAUUGCUGCCCAAUUCUAUGGAUCCCACACGACAACAAGGCCACCCCAACAUGGGAGGAUCAAUGCAGAGAAUGAACCCUCCCCGAGGCAUGGGGCCCAUGGGUCCCGGCCCACAGAAUUACGGCAGCGGCAUGAGACCACCACCCAACUCCCUCGGCCCCGCCAUGCCCGGGAUUAACAUGGGCCCGGGAGCUGGCAGACCCUGGCCCAAUCCUAACAGUGCUAACUCAAUUCCAUACUCCUCCUCAUCACCUGGUACCUAUGUGGGACCCCCUGGUGGUGGCGGCCCUCCAGGAACACCUAUUAUGCCCAGUCCCGCAGAUUCAACAAAUUCCAGUGACAACAUCUACACAAUGAUUAAUCCGGUGCCGCCUGGAGGCAGCCGGUCCAACGUAAGUCUGCUUUCUAAUAAUUUACAUAUCAGA